UUUUUUGUUUGAUAUGAGGGGUUCUGUGACUGAGGUUCUGAGCUGCUGUUGAUGUGCUAUACCUCCUUCAAUUCUCAGCUCUCAAAGGGGAAAACAACUGCAGAGGAUGGGAAAUGCUAUACUGCCACGCCUGGAAACACCCACAGGAAAAUUACCAGUUUUGAGCUUGCUCAACUGCAAGAAAAACUGAAGGAGACAGAAGCAGCCAUGGAAAAAUUAAUCAACAGAGUGGGACCUAAUGGUGAGAGCUGCCACCUACAGUCUGGGUGGAGAACUACCCAGGCUAUUAUAGACAGUUAUGGCUGAAAAAAUAUCUUUACACUCACCUGGGCCAUUGGCAACCCCAGGCCACACCUAAGGGUCAUGAAAACCAGGAAUCCAACUUACAAGGGAUGUGAAGGACCUCUUCAAGGAGAACUACAAACCACUGCUCAAUGAAAUAAAAGAGGAUACAAACAAAUGGAAGAACAUUCCAUGCUCAUGGAUAGGAAGAAUCAAUAUCAUGAAAAUG
This 511-nucleotide small RNA is filed under the name Pan troglodytes (chimpanzee). RNAcentral's name for it is "processed transcript". Lineage: Eukaryota; Metazoa; Chordata; Mammalia; Primates; Hominidae. The record is from RNAcentral.